Molecule: long non-coding RNA, 914 nt
Organism: Ictalurus punctatus (channel catfish)
Lineage: Eukaryota; Metazoa; Chordata; Actinopteri; Siluriformes; Ictaluridae
Exons: 5
Source: RefSeq, a predicted model, not a curated record
CCUCGUCGCACAUGACAGUUCCGCUGUCGCACACGCAAAUCCGGCAUGGCUCAGGUUUCCAUACGUCCUUGUCAUUGUACGACUGGCCGUCUAAUGUGCAGCUAUUGAAUAAGCCUGCGAAUGAAAGACCAAGAGGAGCACAAUUGACUCUGGACUAACUGGAUUUUGUUUAUGCACCUACUGGAAUGUCCAGAUGGCAAGACUUCACAAUAGUCCAUCCUACAGCCGGUCUUUCUCCUGUGGCCAUUGUCAGAGUGUGCAAGACUAAGACAUGAAAGCUCAGACCACGGUGCCCAGGAUAUCCAUCUCUCUAAGAGGUUGUGACUUGCAGUGUCUGUGCAGUGCCCUUCAUUUCACCUGAGUGUUGAGACAGGAGCCACUGUUAUAGAAAAUUACUCAACACCUUCAUAAUCAACCAAUCAGAAUUGAGGAUUCUACAGCACUGUGAACGUGUACAACUGAACUAAAGAGAACCUCCGAGUGCAGAAGAAUGCUAUAAUACAGUUUGUAUGCCAUAAUACCAUAUAAUAUGAUACCACUAUGGCUGAAAUUAUAGAGUGGACAUGGCUAAUGUGAGUCACAAACGUAGAGCAGACAACACACACUCUCUCUCUUACAUACACACACAGUGUUACUGAGACACAACGGAACUCCCAAAAUAUCACCACACAGUCCUUGUCUUUUCUCUGGGCAUUCAGAACAGGAACGGGGACAAUAAACUCUCCUGAAAUAAACAUUCAAAAUUAAAGAGUGUAAAACCAGGCAAGGCAAAAAUCUUGGAAACCAGCUCUUGGUGGGAAAAAGAAAAAUCAUAGUCCAUCCAUCUAGCAUCUGAAGUGUUUCAGAGAUUUUCUUCUUCUUCUUCUUCUUCUUCUUCUUCUUCUUCUUCUUCUUCUUCUUCUUCUUCUUCUUCU